UUAAUGGAGUGUAGUAAAACUUCUUUAUUCCGAAGUAUCCGAACAUGGUGACUUGGAACAACACCAAAGCAGCUACGAGGCGAGUGUGUAUGUGGGGCCACAUCUUCCCGUAGCUCUCAUACGAAGGAACAUACACUUUAAUUGCCUGAUUCCGAAGAACAAGCCAGCCAAUAGCAAAGUACAGCGCGCCAAAUGGAAUAAUGAUAGGAGCUAUGAUAGAGUAGCAGAGGACAACGGUGAUGACCAGCAGAUCGCUGGGUACCCUAGUUGCCAAACCGAGAUCCCCUGGAGUCCAAGCUGCUUUAAGCUCAUCUUCAGUUUUGCAAAGGUACUUCCUCUUCAAAUGGUAAAUGAUCAAAGGAACUAAUCGAGAUAGCUCCAGCCCGUAGCCAACAAAGAACCUGAGAUGGAAAAAAUAAGCAACUCCCUCCACUUGUCAUAUUGAAAGGAAAAUACACACAUCUGCUUUCCUUUUGUCCAAAAUGACUGAUACAAACCACAAUACUUGCCAUACUUCCAUAACGAGGAGAGGGAAAGUUAAUGAAUGGUCGGGUGGGAUAUAAUUAUAAGGGUAGUGAAUGUCGUACUCCUCUUUUUCAUAAACUUCUUUUCCACACAUGAAAAGACAUCCAAUACUAACAUGUAAUUUGACAUGCUAAAAACUGAUACCACAAAACAUUAUUGUUGUGAUAGUAUUAUAUGGAUUUGCAGCAGUAGAGAUCAGAAUUUGGUAAUGAUGUAAUCUUGUCAAAUAAUUUUAAACCUAUUCUGACAAAACUAGCAACUGCCCAAAUUUGUCCAUCCAAUUAUAACGUGUAUUUGGGCAUG
Rhododendron vialii is the source of this 828-nucleotide long non-coding RNA. RefSeq lists it as uncharacterized. The transcript has 2 exons. The record is from RefSeq and is a predicted model, not a curated record. Lineage: Eukaryota; Viridiplantae; Streptophyta; Magnoliopsida; Ericales; Ericaceae.